RNAcentral lists this ribosomal RNA (253 nucleotides) under uncultured bacterium. Its description in RNAcentral is "partial 16S ribosomal RNA". It matches the Rfam family "Bacterial small subunit ribosomal RNA", at positions 524 to 776 of the family's 1533-position model. The record is from RNAcentral.
UACGAAGGGUGCAAGCGUUACUCGGAAUUACUGGGCGUAAAGGGCGCGUAGGCGGCUCGUUUAGUCGGGUGUGAAAUCCCGGGGCUCAACCCCGGAACUGCAUUCGAUACUGGCGGGCUAGAGACCGGAAGAGGUGGGUGGAAUACCCAGUGUAGAGGUGAAAUUCGUAGAUAUUGGGUGGAACACCGGUGGCGAAGGCGGCUCACUGGUCCGGUUCUGACGCUGAGGCGCGAAAGCGUGGGGAGCAAACAGG